Molecule: long non-coding RNA, 4662 nt
Organism: Bubalus bubalis (water buffalo)
Lineage: Eukaryota; Metazoa; Chordata; Mammalia; Artiodactyla; Bovidae
Exons: 2
Source: RefSeq, a predicted model, not a curated record
UUUACCUUUAGGAUUGACUGGUUUGAUCUCCUUGCUGUCCCAGGGACUACGUUAGAGUUUGGCAGUAAUGUGUAGUUCUACUAAAUGUUGACUUGAUUAAAUGAGCAAAGAGAAUUUGAGCCUAAGUUCGUUGUGGAGAUACUUUGGCUAUACUGCUAAUUUCAACCAAGAAGAUGUUGAUAUGUUCAGAAAAUGAAGUAAUGUGUGGUAAGGUUGAAAGUUUCAGAUAAGUUUCACUGUCUUCUUCAUGUGGAAAUAAUACUUUAGGUACCUGAAUCUCAGCCUUUACUGAAACAACAACAAACUUUGGAGCAGUGUUGAUAUUCUGAAAGGGAAAUCUAAGUAAAACCUACAUCUGUGGAUAACAUCUUGAGCACAUCACAAUGCAAGAGAUGAAUUUGAAAAAGUUUGCUGACCCUAUUGCUUGAGCACCAGAAUACAAGGGGUUAAUUCCCAAAGACUCCUACUUUGAGGACACCGAUAAGAACAAAACUCAUUCUGUAUCUGGCCUUUUCUUCAAUCACAAGGGAAUCUGCCAUACCUAAAAUGAACAAAUUAAGACCAAAUGGAAGAGCAGAUCUCGAUUGUAGAUUUAAAUUUUCCCAAACAGCUUUUUACAUAGUUCUAUUUCUUGUACUUUCCAGCCCUAAAACAUGCAACGCAUUAAAUCUGAUUUAUUUUCACUGCCUUUGGGUCUUUGGGUUUGCCCCCAGACAGUCAAAGCCCAGUCGUUGUUAGGGCUGGGGUAGGGGCAUUUUGUGUUGGGUGAAGCAGCAGCACAUCAUAUAAUGAGAAAUAAUUUUCUCAAACCUUAAAUAUUUCUCAGGGAUUUGUUUUACCUGAAGGGACAUUAACACUCUAUAGAUACUGGCAUUUCUGAAUUACAUGUGCUAGUGUUGGAAAAGUGUAAUAUUGAUCAUUGCCAUCCAGCAUCAUACUUAAAACAGUACUAGUAAGUGUGGUUUUGUAUUAUGAAAUACACUUUAUGGAACUUUUCAGAACCAGGUUGGAAUAUGUGUGGUGAUAACCUUCUUCUUUUUAAAGCAGUCUUAAAAUAAUUAUAAAUAUAUUUCUAGUUCAUCUCUGCAUUAUCAGAAGCAGAUGCAUUUGUUAUUUGAGACAGAAGAAAUAAAAGAACAAAGAAAGCAUAUUCUUGGAAUAUUGUGAGAGAGCAAUGUAGAAAAAACUGGAUAUUAAAAAUAUGCAUUAUCUUCUAGGUUUAGGCCGCUGGGAAAUAAAGCUUCUGUGUGUGGAUUUGAUAUAUAAAGACAGGCACAAAGAAAAAGGCAAACAUGCUAUGGAUAUUCUGGCAGGGUACAAUUAUACAGUAUGUUUCCUAACCCUUUUCAUGAAAAUUUGACAUUACUGUACCUCAGCUAGAAGCAGCAGGAAUCACCAGGGAAAGAACAGCUGGAUACUUUAUUAGGUUUUAUGUUGUACAUAAGGAGACCAUGUUUUCCAUUGUCAGUGUGUAAAAGCAAAUGAAAGCUCUGGGCAUCAUUAAGCGCUCGGAAGCGUUGGAUAUGUCAGCUCUGUUCUCGCAACACCUGGAUGGAAAGCGCGGUGUGAGGUCACUGCAAAACAAAAACAGACCGUCUGCGCUAGUUGGAAUUUCCAGAGUUGAUUUAUAAAAAAUAAAAUAGCCCAUCACUGUUGUAGAGGGAAGUAUUCCUUUGUAACUAGACACUUACAUACACAUAUGAAUAUAAAUGUACGGAUCUGUUUGAACAUGUUUUCUAUGUUAUUGCAGCUGACUGUCUCAUGGCUGUACUCUUAGGGAAACCAGGAGGCUCUUUGGAGUCCAGGAAGUCCACUCCCUAUUUUCUGGUCUUUAUGAUGUGAUGUCCUUGAUGAACCAUUCUCCCUGACUCUCCAUUUGGCCUCUUUUGUUCGAUCAGUUUUAGUGAACAUGUCUCCCAGCCCCCAACCCAACACACAUGUAAGUCUUAUUGACGUGAUCACUCUGCCCCGCCUUGUAAUUGCCUUUAUGUUGAGGACCCUAUAUCUGUCCCACAAAGCCCACUACUCUGUUCCUCAUACAGUGGUUUCCUUUUAAAGCACUGUAUUAGUCAGCUUUGGUUGCCAUGGCACAACAUAGAUCGGGUGGCUUAAACAACAGGAAUUUUUUUUUCCUCACCGUUUUGGAUGUUGCCAAGUCUGAGAUCAGGGUGCCAGUAUGGUCAGGUUCUGGUAAGAGCUCUCAUCCUACCUAACAGAGGGAGCCUUCUCACUAUGUCCUCACACAGUGCUGUUAGAAGAGUACCUAACCCAUAUGAGCAUAUUUAACUGUAAUUAAUUCCUAAAAAUGUAUCCUUAGAUACAGUCACAUUGGGAGGUAGAUACAGUCACAUUGGGAGGUUAGAGGUUCAAGGUAUAAAUUGUUCCAGGGGUGGAUACAAUUCAGCUUUUUAAAGAGCUUUUGACACAAUUUGAGUUGUAUACAUAAGAGAGAGAACUUUUUAUUUUUUUCUUCAUGUGAAGCUAUAAGAGGUAUUUGUAGAGUUAGACCACUUAUAUCUUCAACCAUGAGUUGAAGUAGUCUCUUGAUCUUCAUCAUACACUCAUAAUAAAUCUAGUAAACUACAAAUGCAAUUUGAAUAUUAAAAUAUACAGAUAUUUUGUAUUUAUAAUAUAAAAAGUAUUGUGUGUUCUAGCUAUGAUCUCUUCUUUAAUCAUCUUAAAAGAAUACAGAAGAUUGAGCGCUGAUUUCAUUCAUCAUUCAUGAAUCCACAUGUUUAUAUAUUUCCCACUGAUGAAAUGCCCAACCGUAUGCAUGAGAGGUACAGACCAGGAAGUAUAGGACGUAAAGAAAAAGCUGACAACAUUCUGCCCCUUAGCAGCUCAUCGUCAGCAAUAGAGUUUCAGAGCAGUAUGUGAAGUGCUUAGAAAUAAAAAUAUAAAGCAGUGCCCACCAUCCUUUGUAUAUGAGUAACUUUUCAGUGGUGAUACCAUCUGAUCAUGAGAGUAAGAUCACAGUUGAAGAAAGAAAGGCAGUAAACACAAGGCAAAGGGAACGGCAGAUGCAAAGCAAACAUGGGUACAAAAGAGUAUCACUGCAGCCGCAAGCCAGUGUGCUGAGUGGGAUAAGACAAUGAAAUGUUCUUAAUUUAUUUUUUGAUUGUGCUUCUACUGUGUGUCAGGUACCAGGUUAUGUGGGUUGGUGUUGAGGAGUACACAGGGAUGAAGUCACUGUUCUCAAGCUGAUGCUUUUAGGGGGAGGAGACAAUAAAUAAUUCCAUGAUCAAAGAGAGUUCCCCCAAUGGCUCAGCAGUAAGGAAUCCCCCUGCCAUGCUGGGUCGGGAUGAUCCCCUGGAGGAGGAAAUGACAACCCACUCCAGUAUUCUUGCCUGAAGAAUUCCAUGGACAGAUGAGCUUGGCAGGCUACAGUCCAAAGGGUCGCAAAGGGUCCAACACAACUGAACCACCUUAGCAUGCACGCCACAUCCUCUAACGUUCUGUUUUGUUGUAUUAUUCCUUACCCAUUAAGUUGUAUCAUUACUGUCCUUAAGAGCAUUAUGAUCAUCUGACUUUGAUUGCAAGUAAAUUUGUUGCCUCUCCAGCCAUGAAAGAUUACCCCAAAGCUUAGAGGUUUCAAACAGCAAUAAGUACUCAUUCUUCUUCACAGUUUGUAUGGGUCAAAAUUUGGGAUUCUGCUUUAAGAACACUCUCCCCAUUAAAGCAUAAAAACUAUUAUAAAGUAUGAGUCAAAUGUCAGGAAGGACUGGCUUCAUCUAAACUAGCUGUACUGAGUGGAGGAUCUACAUCCGACUUGGUUUACUUGUAUGACUGACUGCUGAGUUGGUGUUGGUCAUUUGCAGACCUGAGUUGCUUCCUUGGGGGCGGCGUCACAGGACUGCCUUUGUAUCCUCACAGCAUGGCACCUGGCUUCUCCUGGAGCAAUCCAAGAUCAGGUGGAAGCAGCAAUGUCAUUUAGGACUUAAAGCUUAGAAGUCACAUACCUUCACAUCCGCAUUAUGAGACUGUUCAGCCCUAUUCAGUGUGGGAGGGGACUAUCCACGAACUUAAAUACCAGGAUAUGAAGAUAAGUGGUGGCCAUCUUGGAAGUUGGCACCACAAGGAGAAAUACUGUUUUUAGUAUUUAAAGAAAUAAUAGUGAUAUUUGGAAUUGAAGUCAAAAAGAAAAAUUUCAACCAGUAACUGACAUAAUUAUCUUUGAACUUCAAUAUCAUAUUUGAUUUCUAAAGUACACACUUAUUAAAUGAUUUCCUUCUUCUGAUCAGGUACUUAAUUUAGCUUUACUUAAUAUAAUAAUGAUAUUAAACAACUUUGUAAAUCAAAAGGUGAAAAUAUAUGCAGAGAAUAAAUUAUGAAGACUUUGUCCAGCAUAAUUGAUGGUGAUUAUUUUCCAGUAUAGUCUUCAAUUCAUUGCUGUAAUAAUCUUUUCAACCAAUUAGCAGUUAAUUUAGUCGGUUAUGUUAAAAUGUUAGCCACAUUAUUUGCCAGUUAAUGCAGGUUAAAUGUUAAUUAUGCUGUUCUAUAGUGACUAACAUGGUACAUCCUGAAACUGCACUUAUUAUUGGUUGGUUUUUUGACUGUUGUAUACUCAUGUGCCUCAUUAUUAUUGUGCUAAUUUUAGUAGAAGCACAUCAUAUCCUGUGUCAUUUAAAAUAAAAUCACCAGUCUUACGUGCUUUCAAUCAAA